RNAcentral lists this ribosomal RNA (495 nucleotides) under uncultured bacterium. RNAcentral describes it as "partial 16S ribosomal RNA". It matches the Rfam family "Bacterial small subunit ribosomal RNA", at positions 28 to 507 of the family's 1533-position model. The record is from RNAcentral.
GACGAACGCUGGCGGCGUGCCUAAUACAUGCAAGUAGAACGCUGAAGGAGGAGCUUGCUUCUCUGGAUGAGUUGCGAACGGGUGAGUAACGCGUAGGUAACCUGCCUGGUAGCGGGGGAUAACUAUUGGAAACGAUAGCUAAUACCGCAUAAUAGUAGAUGUUGCAUGACAUUUGCUUAAAAGGUGCAAUUGCAUCACUACCAGAUGGACCUGCGUUGUAUUAGCUAGUUGGUGGGGUAACGGCUCACCAAGGCGACGAUACAUAGCCGACCUGAGAGGGUGAUCGGCCACACUGGGACUGAGACACGGCCCAGACUCCUACGGGAGGCAGCAGUAGGGAAUCUUCGGCAAUGGACGGAAGUCUGACCGAGCAACGCCGCGUGAGUGAAGAAGGUUGUCGGAUCGUAAAGCUCUGUUGUAAGAGAAGAACGAGUGUGAGAGUGGAAAGUUCGCACUGUGACGGUAUCUUACCAGAAAGGGACGGCUAACUACGUG